RNAcentral lists this ribosomal RNA (492 nucleotides) under uncultured bacterium. RNAcentral describes it as "partial 16S ribosomal RNA". It matches the Rfam family "Bacterial small subunit ribosomal RNA", at positions 29 to 507 of the family's 1533-position model. The record is from RNAcentral.
AGUGAACGCUGGCGGUAGGCCUAACACAUGCAAGUCGAACGGCAGCACAGUAAGCUCUUGCUCUUACGGGUGGCGAGUGGCGGACGGGUGAGGCAUACAUCGGCUUCUUCUUUUUCGGGGGGGAUAACGUAGGGCAACUUACGCUAAUACCGCAUACGACCUACGGGUUAAAUCAGGAGUUCUUCGCACCUUGCGCGAUUGAUUGAGCCGAUGUCGGAUUAGCUAGUUGGCGGGGUAAAGGCCCACCAAGGCGACGAUCCGUAGCUGGUCUGAGAGGAUGAUCAGCCACACUGGAACUGAGACACGGUCCAGACUCCUACGGGAGGCAGCAGUGGGGAAUAUUGGACAAUGGGCGCAAGCCUGAUCCAGCCAUACCGCGUGGGUGAAGAAGGCCUUCGGGUUGUAAAGCCCUGUUGUUGGGAAAGAAAAGCAGCAGGUGAAUACCCCGCUGUUCUGACGGUACCCAAAGAAUAAGCACCGGCUAACUUCGUG